This is a long non-coding RNA of Ostrea edulis (European flat oyster), 875 nucleotides long. RefSeq lists it as uncharacterized. The record is from RefSeq and is a predicted model, not a curated record. Lineage: Eukaryota; Metazoa; Mollusca; Bivalvia; Ostreida; Ostreidae. The transcript is spliced from 2 exons.
UUUUUUUUUUUUUUUUUUUUUUUUUUUUACAUUUUAAAUUAAGCCACCUGCCCGAUCUUUCAGAUUUAAAUGAACGGAGGUAGUAUAAAUAAAUGUUAACCUUUUAAUCUAAACACUGUCGAAAGAAGCGCCCCACUAUUAACUUAUGUGGCAACCAGCUUUAGCAACUGCACUUUCGCUCUCUACUUGGUUAGUGUUGAAAAUAGUAUUGAACCGAAGCAAAUGUUUUCUCUUGAUAAUUUGCUGAACAAGCUAUAUAAUGAGAAAUUAUUUUCAGUAAAAAUGGUAAUUCUUUUAUCUGAGACACUAACGAUAGCGGUGAAAGUUUACAUUGUCCGUAUCAACGGCUCGGAGUGAUAUCUAAAAAUUCUUAGUGUUAUCGGUUUUAUUGCAGUAAUGAGGUAAAUACCUUCACAAUAUUAAGUCCGUUACAUAAUAAGGCCUUUAAUAAAUGACCUUGGUAGAUCGUCACUCCAAAUAUUACACACAAUUCAGGGCAGUGACAUCACUCUCACCCCCUGCUGUAGUCUAGGGCGUGUGGAGCAAUAAUUCGUAUCUUUUAUAAAUGUAUUCCGAUACACCUCGGAAAAGAUAAAGGUGCGCACUUCUCUGCCUAUUGCAAUGCAAUCACUCCAAGUUAUCUCCGGAUUGCAGUGAAGAUAAAAUUUAAUAUCUUUCAUGACACUUUCAACAUCUGCGAAUAUGCGAACUUUGUAAUCAAGCCAAAAGAAAGAAAAACACCCUUGAAUCUUGAUUGCAAUAUCAUUAUACAGAAACACUUGUGGUUACUUUCAUAAUAGAAAUAUAUAAUAUGUUGAGUUAUUAUCUGCGUGUAAUGUUAUUAAUUCUUAGUUGUGAAUAUUGUAUAUCAAUCU